Non-coding RNA from Lolium perenne, 5134 nucleotides. The record is from RefSeq and is a predicted model, not a curated record. Lineage: Eukaryota; Viridiplantae; Streptophyta; Magnoliopsida; Poales; Poaceae.
UCCCCACUCUUCUUCCAGUCGCCGUCUCCUCCCAUCCCGCUCCCGUGCGCGUGCGGCUGCGGCCGCCGCCAACCCCUCUUCCUCCCCCACGUCCCUCUCUGGAGCUCCACUUUACGGAAGAGAGAUGGACAAGGAGGCCAGUGGAGCGACGACAUCGACCGUGCUGAGCAGCGCGCGGGAGCGCCGCCGGUGGAGCGACGACAUCGAGGUCCGCCUCGUCUUCGUCUAUCCUUGGGGAUAGGGAGAGGAUGCAGAAGGCAGUGCUCUUCUUGGUUGGUAGGAGAGGAUGCGGGAGGAGGAGGACGAGAAGGGGUGAGUUCGCCCCAACCGCCUGCCAGCGAAGCCGACGGCCAGCAUCGAUCUCGAGCGACGCCGGUGACCAACACCCCCAGCCAGCUAGGGUUUGGGUGUCCAGACUCCAGAGUACAUGUCUUAGGGGAACCUGCAUGAAUACAGGAUCAUCUCAGAUCUUGUUCAUCCUGCCUUUUUCCUCACAGACUUGUCUUCCACAACGCAGUCUCCUCUCCACGACAGCCUGAUGAGCUUGUGGGGGAGGAGAGCAACGGGCGCAGGGUACAACGAGCUCGCGGAUCCGGGAGUACGUUCAAGGAGUGGAGCUUGCGCUCAGUGGGAUGGUUGGCAACCCGCGUGAAGCAAAAAGUUCCUUGCUGGUUCAUUUUGUUGCGAGGGGUGCUCCCAGCUCAAAGGCUAAACCAUGAGGUCACUGCUGUUGUCAUCACAGAGUUCAGGAACUUUUGGCAAGUAAAUGUAACCUGACGAUGUUCUCAUAUCAUGUUGUCUGUCAUCGAAGCUGCCUACUAAUCUGCAAGAUCCGAUCAUUGCCAGUGUUUGGGUGACUCGACACUGAAGCAGGUGGAGCAGUAGCGGAUGGGGUUUUCGUGUUCAUCAGAGAGGUGGAGAUGAGCUCGAACUGUUAGUGGUCAAACCAUGGGAAGGGAGCAAAGAGCAAGGCCAGAAACAUGGGUAUGCAGAUAUCAUGCAUCCUCUCUUGGGAGAAGACCAAGAAAGCCACAGGGAUAAUCUGGCUUAUUGAAGUAACAUAGUGAUAUUUUUUCCCUACAGCCCGUCUUCUUGCCUAAUGAAGCAACUGGCAUUAGUUUUUCUGUGGCGUCAACCUUAUGUGUCGAGAAUGCAGGUGUGCCCAUCACAAAGCUUGCUCUGUACAUAUAUCACAUUUUCCUACUGGUGCGAGCUUUCCAAUUUUUUUUUGAAUCAUGCCUUGGUUAAAGGCAAAUAUGGACCAAUGCAUUUUCUUCCUAAAAUACUUCUCCUACCCGUGUUGAUGGUCACAUUUUUCCAAUUUUCAAUGAUGUACCUAAGAUACAUAAUCAGAGGUGUCAUCAUGGGCAUCUGAGACACACUGCACAAAUUCUCUGAAAAUAAAGAAUGUCGCUGCAACAAUUCUUCUUCAACAUUCAGUGUCAUGGUUUCUUCCUAAAAUACUUCUCCUGCCAAUGUUGAUGGUCACAGUUUUUCUUGCUUUCACUGAUGUACUUAAGAUACAUGCCUUAUAGGUAGAUCAUAAGGGUUGUUACACGAUUAGUUUGUACAUUUAUCCAAAUAUAAUCCAUAAAAAUUGAUUCAAAAAUCUGUAUAUCAUCUCUUGUCAUUUAACAGAACAAUACAGUCUAUCUUGAUUGAUCAUUUGCUAAGAUCAUCAUCUGUCCGUGUUUAGGAUUUUAACAUUUUCUGCAAAUAAUAUCUGAAGUGGUCAUACAAUACCGUUGCAUUAUCUUCAAUUUUAUUCAAGUAUGCCAUUCCUCGCUUUUUUAUCUGUCUACGUGUUUCUUAAUCUGAAUCCUUCGUGUGAUGCACAUAUUUACACAGGAGAUCAUGCUUAAAUCAUGGAUGCCUUAUAGCGGACUACAUAAUCAUGACAAGUAGAUUUAUUUAUUUGUAAGACAAUCCAACCAGUAGAAGACAAUAACUUUCCUGUGUUUUGUUAUUUGUUACCUUGUGCUCUCUUCUCCUGGUAGCAUUUUUUUUGGCCAUCGCCUCAUACAUAUUUUGGUUGUGGAGUAAGCUUUACUUUUGUUUGUUUCGGGGGUGUUGCUGUCGCAAACUAUUGCCGUGUUCAUCUUUCUGGCAGGGUAUUAAGCUUUCUCCACCCUAUAUAUCCAACUGAUUGUCCUUCAUCAUUUACCUUUUAUGUUUGCAUAUGUUUGUAUGCUCUGUUUCUAAUAAGGUUUUUCUGCCGGCAUUUUUGCAUGUUUUGGUUUGGUUGAGUUCUUUUUAUUUUAUUCAUUCCGUACCAUGGGAUGUUUGCUAUCUACCCUUCCACUGUUCAUGUUGUUGGAUAUGGUUGCUUCCCAGUGUCAGUAUGCUAAACUAGCUGUCGCAUCCACGUGAACUUCUAAAUUUCUCGUCUUCUCACCUAUGUGUAUGGGUCAUUACUGAAUCUGCUGCACUGGCCAUAUAGAUCCAAGACCUUGCUGAGCGCGUACACCAUGCUCUGCAUCCCACAUUAGCAACCAGCCGUGGGCUCUUGCUCAUGUGAGACAAAACAACUACUCAGAUGCUAUGUUGUUAAUUAUGUUUCUACCUUUGCCCUGUUGUGUGUACUUUCCUGAUUUAUGUUAGCUACUUAUUUCCGAUGCUUGGUGCAGCUACUUGACUUGUGUUACUACUUCUAAUUCCUGGCUGUUUUGGAUGAAAGUAACUAUAGAUUGGUUCUUAAGGUGAUGUUCAUCUUUAUUUACAUGAUUGCAACUUUUUUUCGGCAGGGCCAAGGCCGUGGAGGCUCCAAAUUUUUAUUCAACUCACAGGAAACUUCUUUGAGCAUGUUCUUCUAAUUAUAUCUUUUAUCCUUAUAGCAUUUACUUUAUCAAACCAGCUAAGUUGAUGCAUAUUCUUCGAGCAUACCUAUACAUUACAAAUAUUGUGCUUUCUUUGACAGCAUAUGUCUAUUCUACGCUCUCUUCAGCAAGAAAUCCUGCACUGUAUCCAAGAAUUUGUUCUUCCUAAGGCUGAGUACCAUCUUCGAGUUAUGUGAAGAUGCCAAAGUUUGCAUGAGUGUAUGUCGUUGUGUGAAAGGGCAAUUUGCUUUCCUCUGAACUUAAAUUGACACUGCAAUAUAUAGUGUAUUUCAACCAUGUCGUCUUAAUGAUGUUUACUUUAGAUUGAUAUACCUUAGUGUUUUAAAUUUACCAAAUGAUACUCACACUGCUUUUGGCCGCUAUUUUAUAAGCCGUAGAUUGCUCUGAGUUCCACGGGAUCAUGCGCUAAGGUGCACAACUAAAUCUCUUGUCAUUUAACAGCACAAUACAGCCUAUAGUCUGGUUCCUUUUACUAAUAACGUUUUUUUCAAAAUGCAGUGAUAAUGGAUUUGUUCUUUUUUGGUGCAUAUAUAUUUUUUGAGAUGCUUCAGACAUUUUACUUCUACCUGCGUACAUAUAAAUUGCAGUAUGCUCAUAAAUCAUUUGUUUUAGAGAAACCAAAUUUCAGCAUAUGCACAAUUCAGGUUAGUCGGUGUAUUUUUCUUAUGUUAACAUUCAGGUUAGCCAAUCCUCAUAAAUUAUUUAACGGUGCCAUAUUAACCAUGUUCGGGUACAACUGUUGAAGAUCGAUCAUAGGGCGAUCAUAGGGGUAGGUGCCCCAUAAUUUUUUUAUAAUAUACUGCCAGAAUUUUUUUCUUAGCUUCUUGGGUGUAAUGCGGUAGUCCAUCAUGUUGAAUAAUUUUUAUUUGGUUGGUUCUGAGCCUUGGUGACGGUCUUGCAUGAUAGAACCUUGUAUCCUCGUCCCCUAGAACGUGCCAGUUUACCUUGCCACAUUGUCUUGCUUUGGUAGCAAUAGACUAAGCUGAACCUUCAAUUUUUUGCUUAACCACAUAUCCCUGAAGAAGCCCUCUAAUUUCGUUAGGGCUCGAGACAGCCUAUAAAGGGCCCCCAAGGUAAAUUUGUUUGCAUCCAAAAUGUUUCCGUCAGGUUUUUCAGAAAUUUCCUCCACCUCCCAAUAUUUUUUUCUCAGCUGUUUUAGUUUUUGGCUAAUCCUUUUCGCUUUGUCUUUACAUAGGGAAUGUGACUCCAGGUUACAGUGAUCAAGUUGACGAAGCCAUUUCUGAAUUUUCAAUUAUUUUCAUACCGGAAUUUUUUUGAGUUUGGGGCAGUUGGCAAAGCUUCAAUUUUCAAAUGACAGUGAUCGAUAUGGGAGGAUCAUGAAUAUUGGAUCAAGUGAAAUCUUGAAUCUGCAAGCCUCUAAUUGCAUAAUUAAACUGGGAAUGCAGCUGUGCCAGUACUUAUAUCCUCACCUGAUCGGACUUUGUUAAAAUCACCAGCGACAUUCCAAAGACCAUCAAUAAAUGGUUGUAGUAUAUGUCUGAUUUCAUCAAAUAAUUCAUCCUGUUCUGCGUCCACUGUUGGCCCAUAAACAUAAGUUGCCCAGAGAUGGAACUCUAAACUUUUAGAUUGGAAGUGAACUAUUCUUGGCUAUUUUAUUGCAUCAUUUAAAUUUUUUUAGUUCCAUACUAUUAUAAUUUCACCAGCUGUACAUAUAUAUGCACAAAUUUGUCGUGCAUAGCAGGAAGGAAAGCACACUUUUUGAAGCAAGAAAUGGGCUGCAAUUUUGUCUCUUGUCGGAAACCAGCGAGUCACGAACUAACUCACUUUCAAACUGUGUUGUCAUGAUGGAAUGGGGUUUAUAGCAAAGGUAACACAGACCUUGACAAACAAGCAGACACUGAAACUGAUGAUCUGAUGACUGCUACCACAAACUGACACCAAGCAACUGCAAACUGAAAAACUGCAACAACCACACUGGGAAAUAAAAAAACAACAACGAGGCCAUCUCAGCUCCAUUCUCUACCCAGACCAAGAACGAGGCCAUCAGCGAAGCUGCCCCUACAGUUCCAGUGCAAGAGAAGGAGAGCAUUGUUGUUAUCUCCUCCAACAAAGACGACAAUAAUGCUGACCACUGAUAGGUAGGAACUUGAAAGCAGUAGAACCAAACCAGUACUACUAAGCUUUACACAAUACAACAGGCACCUUAGUGUACUGUAUAGAUUAGAUCCAACGUAUCUGUAAUGCAGCUCCAUCCCUCUAUUGUCAUCUGGCAGUAGAAACAUGUAUUGACGUCAACAUUAUUCGCCAUGUAAUCCAAUGUAAAUAUAUCUACUAGC